RNAcentral lists this ribosomal RNA (513 nucleotides) under uncultured Glomeromycotina. RNAcentral's name for it is "partial small subunit ribosomal RNA". It matches the Rfam family "Eukaryotic small subunit ribosomal RNA", at positions 593 to 1121 of the family's 1831-position model. The record is from RNAcentral. Lineage: Eukaryota; Fungi; Glomeromycota.
CCAAUAGCGUAUAUUAAAGUUGUUGCAGYUAAAAAGCUCGUAGUUGAACUUCGGGGUUUACCCAUUGGUCAGGCUUAAUUGUCUGYACUGGUGAGAUGAAUCUCUACCUUCUGAGGAACUUUCAUGCCAUUUAUUUGGUGUGAUKGGAAAUCAGGACUGUUACUUUGAAAAAAUUAGAGUGUUUAAAGCAGGCUAACGUCUGAAUACAUUAGCAUGGAAUAAUGAAAUAGGACGGACUGAUUCUAUUUCGUUGGUUUCUAGGAUCACCGUAAUGAUUAAUAGGGAUAGUUGGGGGGCAUUAGUAUUCAAUYGUCAGAGGUGAAAUUCUUGGAUUUAUUGAAGACUAACUACUGCGAAAGCAUUUGCCAAGGAUGUUUUCAUUAAUCAAGAACGAAAGUUAGGGGAUCGAAGACGAUCAGAUACCGUCGUAGUCUUAACSAUAAACUAAACUGUCSGACCGUASGGAUMGGKACGUACGKAAYGUUAAAGUUUAAUUUAAUAGUACGACGUUCG